AGGGUGGCUUUAAAAUAUUUUAGUGGGGCUGGAGCCCCCCUAAAAUAGACCUAGUGACGCCACUGAACAUGUCAGGCUCAGAGUGGAUGACUCAUCUGGAAAACUGUUUGCUUAGCUGUGGCGGCCAUCUUUAAUGGAGAAGAUUCUAGAUUUAAACAUGUUGUAGACCUGCAUCCAAUAACUACAGUGUUUCCUGAGUCUGGCCAGUGGUUCACCUGAAUUUCCUUUUGACGAGACAAUAAAUUCUAUUCUAUUCUAUUCUAUUCUAUUCUAUUCUAUUCUAUUCAUGAGACAUUUAUCUGCCUGUAGGAAGCAGCCUUCUAAAACAUUCACAUGAGAAGCUCCACACUGAAUGAGUCGCGCAUGCGCAGUGUCAUCUUACAGCCCCGGAGGCUCCGCCCCUUUCAGUCAGAUGUUAGCUUCUGCAGCUAGCUGUAGCUAACAGUAAACAGACAUGACUGCAGAGGAAACAUGGAUGAAUUUGAGUUUUUCACAACCGGAAACGGUAGAAAUGGUCUGAAGCUGAGACAAACAGGACAGAUGGAAGAUAAAACGACCGUCCGAUAUGAGUUCUGACCCAGAUAACAGGCUGUUUUACACCGGAGGAGGCCGUCAUGUCUCCGGAAGAAAAGAGUUCGGUUCUGAACGAGUGUCACGUUAAAGCAGAAACGGGUCAGGAGCACCACGGACCGGGUGACGGCUCGGUUCUACCGGCACCGCAUCUCACGAUGUGUCCCGAUGGGUAAAAAUGGACCUGAGAAGUGAAUCAAACAGUUUAUUACAAAGUCAGGUGUAUAAAAUAACGCGCUCACCUGUGUUUCAGACAGGACAGCUCCAUCCGGUGAAGGUAAUAAUUCAUAACAACAUGUAAUAAAACAUGUCUCAGGGUGGUCUUUCAUGKCUUCUGUACAUUAUUAUUACACAAUAAAACAUAUUUAAAGAACAACUCAAAUAUUUGUCGGUUGAUUUAAUUUCAAUAAAUGAAUAAAUAAAUUGCAGCCAAAUAACUUUAACUAUUCAGCGUGCGCAUGCGCAUUGAGCAAGCUACGUUUGUUAGAUACUGCGCAUGCGCGACUCAUUUUGUGAGCGACAAACCUGCAGCUUAGCGCCAUUAAAUGAGACUUCCGCCGAAGAGCUUUCCUACAAAAAUAAAAGCACAAAACUGAACUAAAUUGAGUUUUAUUCUUUUUGUGACUUAAAAUAAACUGUUUUACCUUUUUUAAAGCUACUGGUUUGAUUCCACUGAAUACUUUGUUUGAAUCUCUAACAGCUCUGUGUAGAAACUUUAUCAUCUAACAGAUAAAUGUGUUGUUGUCAUUAUAGUUACACAAUGAACAUGUACAACAAAAAUUUUGAGGAAAAAAUUUAAAUGGUAGAUUCAUAUAUGUUGUAUAUUUUUGUAAGAAAAAUGAUUAUCUGUUCAUAAAUCUAUUUUCAUGACAUUUUUAGAUUAAUGUUAAUAAAAAACAAUUUCAUAA
Molecule: long non-coding RNA, 1478 nt
Organism: Austrofundulus limnaeus
Lineage: Eukaryota; Metazoa; Chordata; Actinopteri; Cyprinodontiformes; Rivulidae
Exons: 2
Source: RefSeq, a predicted model, not a curated record